AUUAAGGCAGAGGACAUUCAAAAGAGAUAGGCAGGUGCAGUAGGUACAGACGUGACCACCAUGAGACCUUCCUGAGAUGGCAGGAAGGAGCCCAGUCCCAGAGUGGAUUUGGAUUGAUCACUGCACAUGUGCCCCAACCAACAGUGAGGGGGUCCCACAAGCCCAAGUGGGGGAAGUUAGGGAUCUAAGGCAGGAGCAGGAAAACCAGACAAAGAAAACAGGUGGAGACUUGAGACAGAGGCAUGAAUGUGAAGAAGCCCAAAAUAAAAUUUCCUGCACAGGACUCUUGGCCUGUUUUCCUGCACAAUCAGCCCACUCCUCCCUUGGGUCCUAUUUUUUUCUACAAUAAGCUGUUUACACUGUAUUUAUUUUCAAUGAAGUUAUCUGCCAUCUUUGUACUGCCUCCUGGUGAAAAUCUUUCUGCCAAGUUAGACAAGAACUGGGACAUCAGCUCUCUCCAGCGAUAGCUCCUUUUGAGUUUGAAUUUCCCAAACUGAUGGCACUGAAUUACUGGUGCUCCAACUUUAAGUGGUGCAGUAAGAGGUCAGUAGGGGGUGCCAGCCUCACACCAGGAGCAAGAGGGCCCUGCAUAGUCCCCCAGAUGCCUGCAGGUGGUGUGCCACCACUACACGGUAAGAAAGAGGGCCGGGCAGUGUCCCCAGCUGCCAGGAAGGUGCGUACAGCAACUACGCUGUGAGCAAGAGGGUCGGGCAGUGUCCCCACCUGCCAGCAGGGGGCGCACGGGCACCACACCAUGAGAAAGAGGACCCUGCUGUGCCCUCGUUGCCAGCAGGGGGCGUGCUGCCACUACACUGUGAGCAAGAGGGUCUGGCAGCGCCCCCAGCGGCCAGAAGGGCCCUGCAGUGUCCCAGCCAAUAGCAUGGGGCACUAGCCACUGCACUGUGAGCAAGAGGGUCUUGCAGUUGUCCUGGUCGCCAACAGGUGGCACAUGGGCACAGCACCAUGAGCAAGCAGGCCCUGCAGUGCCCGGCCGCCAGCAGGGGGUGUCCGAGUUUGCCUUUUCAGAUUCCUGAGGUUCCGCCACCUGCCUGCCUCCCAGAGCCGUGCAUAGCCUAUGCCAGGGUGGAACUGCAUUCUUCUCAGCACAGACUCAGAGGACACCGUGAAGGUGGAGCUGCAUUCUGCUCAUCACAGACCUGGGGGCACUGUGAGGGCAGAGCUGCGUUCUGUGCAGCACAGACCCAGGGGUUACCACGAGGGCAGAGCUGCAUUCUGCUCAGGACAGACCCGGGGGCACGGCAAAGGCAGAGCAGUGUUCUCCCCAGCACAGACACGGAGGACACUGUAAGGGCGGGGCUGCUUUCUUCUCAGCACAGACCAGGAGGGGGACACCAUGAAGGCAGAGCUGCGUUCUCAACACAGACCCUGGGGGCACUAUCUCACUUUGGGACAACUCAGGACCACAUCCAUGGACCCACUCAAGAAGAGGCAAUGGCUUUGGAGCACCUGGUAGUGUGUCCACAGUGAAGACCAGAGUUUCGUUGUCCUCAAGACUGACCUGGGGAGACGUGGCUGCGGGCCAGUGAGGAAGAUGGCACCAAAAGCGAAGAAGGAAGCUCCUGCCCCUCCUAAAGCCAAAGCCAAAGCAAAGGCCAAGAAGGCAGUGUUGAAAUGUGUCCACAGCCCCCCCCAAAAAGAAGAUCUGCACCUCAUCCACCUUCCAGCGUCCCAAGACACUGCGACUCCGGAGGCAGCCCAGAUAUCCUGGGAAGAGCGCCCCCUGGAGAAACAAGCUUGACCACCAUGCUAUCAUCAAGUUUCCAGUGACCACUGAGUCAGCCAUGAAGAAGAUAGACAACAACACGCUUGUGUUCACUGUCGAUGUUAAAGCCAACAAGCACCAGAUCAUACAGACUGUGAAGAAGCUCUGGGACGUGGAUGUGGCCACAGUCAACAUCCUGAUUCGGCCUGAUGGAGAAAAGAAGACAUAUGUUCGAGUGACUCCUGAUUACAAUGCUUUAGAUGUUGCCAACAAACUUGGGAUCAUCUAAACUGAGUCCAGCUGGCUGAUUCUAAAUAGAUGUGUAUCUUUUCACCAUAAA
This is a long non-coding RNA of Piliocolobus tephrosceles (Ugandan red Colobus), 2063 nucleotides long. RefSeq lists it as uncharacterized. Lineage: Eukaryota; Metazoa; Chordata; Mammalia; Primates; Cercopithecidae. The transcript has 3 exons. The record is from RefSeq and is a predicted model, not a curated record.